GGCUUUACCCCGAAGGGA
Molecule: small nuclear RNA, 18 nt
Filed under: Arabidopsis thaliana (thale cress)
Lineage: Eukaryota; Viridiplantae; Streptophyta; Magnoliopsida; Brassicales; Brassicaceae
Description: snRNA_08184
Source: RNAcentral